UUUGCGCAGCUUACACAUGCAGUCGAGCGGGGUGAUGGUGCUUGCACUAUCACCUAGCGGCGGACGGGUGAGUAAUGCUUAGGAAUCUGCCUAUUAGUGGGGGACAAAAUUUCGAAAGGAAUGCUAAUACCGCAUACGUCCUACGGGAGAAAGCAGGGGAUCUUCGGACCUUGCGCUAAUAGAUGAGCCUAAGUCGGAUUAGCUAGUUGGUGGGGUAAAGGCCUACCAAGGCGACGAUCUGUAGCGGGUCUGAGAGGAUGAUCCGCCACACUGGGACUGAGACACGGCCCAGACUCCUACGGGAGGCAGCAGUGGGGAAUAUUGGACAAUGGGCGCAAGCCUGAUCCAGCCAUGCCGCGUGUGUGAAGAAGGCCUUAUGGUUGUAAAGCACUUUAAGCGAGGAGGAGGCUACUUUAGAUAAUACCUAGAGAUAGUGGACGUUACUCGCAGAAUAAGCACCGGCUAACUCUGUGCCAGCAGCCGCGGUAAUACAGAGGGUGCAAGCGUUAAUCGGAUUUACUGGGCGUAAAGCGCGCGUAGGCGGCUAAUUAAGUCAAAUGUGAAAUCCCCGAGCUUAAACUUGGGAAUUGCAUUCGAUACUGGUUAGCUAGAGUGUGGGAGAGGAUGGUAGAAUUCCAGGUGUAGCGGUGAAAUGCGUAGAGAUCUGGAGGAAUACCGAUGGCGAAGGCAUCCAUCUGGCCUAACACUGACGCUGAGGUGCGAAAGCAUGGGGAGCAAACAGGAUUAGAUACCCUGGUAGUCCAUGCCGUAAACGAUGUCUACUAGCCGUUGGGGCCUUUGAGGCUUUAGUGGCGCAGCUAACGCGAUAAGUAGACCGCCUGGGGAGUACGGUCGCAAGACUAAAACUCA
Molecule: ribosomal RNA, 870 nt
Filed under: Acinetobacter lactucae
Lineage: Bacteria; Pseudomonadati; Pseudomonadota; Gammaproteobacteria; Moraxellales; Moraxellaceae
Description: bacterial SSU rRNA
Rfam family: Bacterial small subunit ribosomal RNA
Source: RNAcentral